GCGGCGGACGGGUGAGUAACACGUAGGUAACCUGCCUGUAAGACUGGGAUAACAUUCGGAAACGGAUGCUAAUACCGGAUACACGAUGGUGUCGCAUGACACAAUCGGGAAAGACGGAGCAAUCUGUCACUUAUAGAUGGACCUGCGGCGCAUUAGCUAGUUGGUGAGGUAACGGCCCACCAAGGCGACGAUGCGUAGCCGACCUGAGAGGGUGAUCGGCCACACUGGGACUGAGACACGGCCCAGACUCCUACGGGAGGCAGCAGUAGGGAAUCUUCCGCAAUGGACGAAAGUCUGACGGAGCAACGCCGCGUGAGUGAUGAAGGUUUUCGGAUCGUAAAGCUCUGUUGCCAGGGAAGAACGCUCAUGAGAGUAACUGCUCAUGAGGUGACGGUACCUGAGAAGAAAGCCCCGGCUAACUACGUGCCAGCAGCCGCGGUAAUACGUAGGGGGCAAGCGUUGUCCGGAAUUAUUGGGCGUAAAGCGCGCGCAGGCGGUCAUUUAAGUUUGGUGUUUAAUCCCGGAGCUCAACUCCGGGUCGCACUGAAAACUGGGUGACUUGAGUACAGAAGAGGAAAGUGGAAUUCCACGUGUAGCGGUGAAAU
RNAcentral lists this ribosomal RNA (605 nucleotides) under Paenibacillus sp. CPCC100553. RNAcentral's name for it is "bacterial SSU rRNA". It matches the Rfam family "Bacterial small subunit ribosomal RNA", at positions 95 to 687 of the family's 1533-position model. Lineage: Bacteria; Bacillati; Bacillota; Bacilli; Caryophanales; Paenibacillaceae. RNAcentral also lists the same sequence under 1 other name. The record is from RNAcentral.